This 484-nucleotide ribosomal RNA is filed under the name uncultured bacterium. RNAcentral describes it as "bacterial SSU rRNA". It matches the Rfam family "Bacterial small subunit ribosomal RNA", at positions 28 to 507 of the family's 1533-position model. The record is from RNAcentral.
GAUGAACGCUAGCGGGAGGCUUAACACAUGCAAGUCGAGGGGUAAAUGGUAGCAAUACUAUGAGACCGGCGAACGGGUGCGUAACGCGUAUGCAACUUACCUUAUGCAGGGGGAUAGCCCGUGGAAACGCGGAUUAAUAUCCCAUAGAUCAGUAAUAUCGCAUGGUAUAACUGGUAAAACUCAGGUGGCAUAAGAUGGGCAUGCGUCUGAUUAGCUAGUUGGUAGGGUAACGGCCUACCAAGGCGACGAUCAGUAGGGGUUCUGAGAGGAUUAACCCCCACACUGGUACUGAGACACGGACCAGACUCCUACGGGAGGCAGCAGUGGGGAAUUUUGGACAAUGGGCGCAAGCCUGAUCCAGCCAUGCCGCGUGAGUGAAGAAGGCCUUCGGGUUGUAAAGCUCUUUCGGCCGGGAAGAAAUCGCAUGGGUUAAUACCCUGUGUGGAUGACGGUACCGGAAUAAGAAGCACCGGCUAACUACGUG